Molecule: ribosomal RNA, 443 nt
Filed under: uncultured bacterium
Lineage: Bacteria
Description: partial 16S ribosomal RNA
Rfam family: Bacterial small subunit ribosomal RNA
Source: RNAcentral
CCUACGGGAGGCAGCAGUGGGGGAUAUUGGACAAUGGGGGAAACCCUGAUCCAGCGACGCCGCGUGAGUGAAGAAGUAUUUCGGUAUGUAAAGCUCUAUCAGCAGGGAAGAAAGAAAUGACGGUACCUGAGUAAGAAGCACCGGCUAACUACGUGCCAGCAGCCGCGGUAAUACGGAGGGGGCAAGCGUUAUCCGGAAUUACUGGGUGUAAGGGGAGCGUAGACGGUAAUGCAAGUCUGGAGUGAAAGGCGGGGGCCCAACCCCCGGACUGCUCUGGAAACUGUGUAACUGGAGUGCAGGAGAGGCAGGCGGAAUUCCUAGUGUAGCGGUGAAAUGCGUAGAUAUUAGGAGGAACACCAGUGGCGAAGGCGGCCUGCUGGACUGUAACUGACGUUGAGGCUCGAAAGCGUGGGGAGCAAACAGGAUUAGAUACCCCUGUAGUC